Molecule: long non-coding RNA, 1890 nt
Filed under: Homo sapiens (human)
Lineage: Eukaryota; Metazoa; Chordata; Mammalia; Primates; Hominidae
Description: HSALNT0311920
Source: RNAcentral
UGAGGCCCUGGGAGAUGGUAGAGCCACACCAUGAAGGUGCCUGGGUCCCUGAAUGACUGCAUGGAGCUCACUCUACAUUGGACUGUGACACAAGCAAGAAAGGUAGACACUUAGGAGUGGAAUUGCUGAGUCAUACAGUAAUUCUAUGUUUAACAUUUUGAGGAGCUGCCAAACUGUUUCCAAAAUGGCUGCAACAUUCUAUAUUUCCAUCAGCAAGAAGGGCCCAUGUGGCAAGGAACUAAGGGCAGUCUCUGGCCAAAAGCCCACAAGUAACUGAAUUCUGCCAAUAACCAUGAGUUUGGAAGUGGAUCCUUCCCCAUUCGAGUCUCAGAUGAGUCCCCAGCCCUGGCCAACAUCUUCAUGUGCUGUGAGAGACCAUUAAGCAGAGGACCCAGCUAAGCUCUGCCCAGAUGCUCAAUCCACAGAAAAAGAUACUAAGUGUGUGUUGUUUUAAGCUGCUACAUUUGCAGUGGUUUGAUAUGCAGCAAUAGAUAACUGAUACUGCUGUUAAUUGCUUUCUAUUACAAUCAGCUGGAAUAACUGCCCUUGUGCCUACAAUCAGAGAUGUAUUUUGGGAUCAAUUCCCAGACCUGAGAUUGUUCAGUCUAAGGGUAAGGAUAUUUAAUGUGGAAAAAUAACACUAAAUUGUCCUCCAAAAAUAUUAUCAAGUGACAAUCAUGCAAACAGUAUGAAAGUUCCUACUUCUCUCCAUGUUCUUGCCAAAUGAAGUGUCAUUGAUCAUUGAAAAAAUAUCAGUUUGAGAAAAAUCAGUACUGCAUUGCUUUGAUUGCAUUUUCCUGAUCACUUAUCAGGGUGAGCAUCUUUUUAACGAAUCCCUUGGCCAUUUAUUUUCCUCUUUCUUUUGAGACUUCUCUCUUGAUAUUUUUAGCUUUUAUCCUAUUUUAAUUGGAUUUCAAUUGGAUUGAACAACUAGAAUGAUAGAAUGAUAUCUGGGGGGCACACAAUGGCCAUUGGUGAUGCUGCUGUUGAUUACCCAAAGUGCUAUCCCAUUUCUUCCUGUGUAUUUACUACUAUUUCUCUUGCAGUUAAUAAGCAAUUUAUGGGAAGAUUCUUUGAGACCAUUCAAAUAUCCUGCACCUCAUUAAAAUAUCCCCCUGGAUUUAGCAGCCUUUGAUGAUUCUUGCCUGAACAAAACUUUAUUAUGGUAGAUGUAAAAUGAAGAUUUUCAUUUCUAGCACUUCUUCCACAUUUACCAGCUACAUUCAGCCUUCUUGUGGAUAAGACUCUCCCCUUUCUCCCAAAUGUUUAUUGUUUUUAUUAGUAUGGACUCACGAUUUCCUGUUCUUCUCAAUGGCCUAUAAUUUAUUACUAUCUUUAAUUAUAUUAGUGCUCAAAUUUUCCCAGUUUGGCCAGUGGGAUCCCCUCCAAGUUGGCUAUUAUUUCCUUGUGACAUACCCACUUUUUCUUUCUUUCUCUUUCUUUUUCUUUCCUUUUAAAACUCACUUCUUUACUUCCUGCUCCAGCCCUGGAAUCAGCCAUUUCUCUGAAAAACUGUGGUUCUUUCAAGUGGACAAAGGUAUUAGAGACCAAAAUUUGGGCACAAGAUAUGCACUUUAACAAGGACCCACUUUAAGUGCAGUUUAGUGAAUUUGAAUGAAUGCAUGAACUUCUGUAACUACUACCACAAUCAAGAUAUAGAGUUUCUGUCACCUCUCAAAGCCUCCUUUUCUUGCUUGCUCAUAUGCAAUUACCUCUGUCCAAAAUGACCCUUUCCCUUUCCUCUACACACUUGGCAAAGCCAUGAUUGAACAUUUAUUCCUUCUUAGAUUUUGUUCCAUUUUCCUCAGCAAAGGUUCUUUGUUUCCUCUUCUUCAUGCUCACAAAAGAGAGAGUAAAAGUGCUUGCUCAACAGUUCUUCAACUGCUCUAA